CCGACGGUGAGGGGCGAAAGCUGGGGGCACGAACCGGAUUAGAUACCCGGGUAGUCCCAGCCGUAAACGAUGCUCGCUAGGUGUCAGGCAUGGCGCGACCGCGUCUGGUGCCGCAGGGAAGCCGUGAAGCGAGCCACCUGGGAAGUACGGCCGCAAGGCUGAAACUUAAAGGAAUUGGCGGGGAGCACAACAACGGGUGGAGCCUGCGGUUUAAUUGGACUCAACGCCGGACAACUCACCGGGGGCGACAGCAAUAUGUAGGCCAAGCUGAAGACUUUGCCUGAAUCGCUGAGAGGAGGUGCAUGGCCGUCGCCAGUUCGUACUGU
Molecule: ribosomal RNA, 326 nt
Filed under: uncultured archaeon
Lineage: Archaea
Description: bacterial SSU rRNA
Rfam family: Archaeal small subunit ribosomal RNA
Source: RNAcentral